GAUCAUAUUCACUCCCCGUAAACCGAGACCUAUAGGGAGGAUAAAUUACGUCUCUCAUACCCACAGUGAAGGGAUUGUGGGAAUAUAAGUUUCG
This 94-nucleotide non-coding RNA is filed under the name unclassified sequences. RNAcentral's name for it is "PhotoRC-II RNA". It matches the Rfam family "PhotoRC-II RNA". The record is from RNAcentral.